GCCCUCCGACGCCGGAACAAUCGAGAACCUUCUCGGGAGUUCCACCUCUGCUGCUCUAAUCGAUCCCACCACCACUUUCAUGGGAUUUCUCGGAAACUGGGACAUGUUGAGCAUUGACAGACUAAACUAUGCAGGUAAUCCCAACUCCAUUUAUUCACCCACCUCCCCAGAUUUUCCACUGUUUCAUCAAUAAUUUAAGCUGCCUUGUACAUUAUUGGAUGAGGUACGUAUGUGUAAAAUAUUUAUGCCUCAUCCCUUUCAAUUUCACUCUUUUCAAAUCCCUAGCUUGCAUGUAAUAAUCCUGUACCAAUAUAAAAAUAAAAUAUGGUUUUGUUGUACUAAUCUUCAUCAUAAUCAUACCCAAUUAUUCUGGUACCAACUUAUUGAAUUAAUCUUCAACACCAACUUGCUAAUUUUCACAAUGUGUGUUUUUUAGAUUGCUGUGUUAAUGCAGGAAAUUUCAUCUCGUUUGUAUCUCAUAUAUUUUAUCUUACAUAUGAGUGUGAUCAUCAUCAAGUUGUUCAGAUUUUAGGAAUCAAGAAUGUAAAUCUAAUUAAAAUUUUGCAAACGCAAAAUCUACUGUGGCUACACAUUAAACUUCAAUAUGAGUAGUGAAAUAAAGAAUUCAAACUUAUAGAGCCAUUUUAAAAGAUCAUGUUGCAAAAGUAAGUGAGUUGCUUAAAUUCUUUGAGAGCAUAAUUUCAAGCUAUUAUCACAUAUUGUUUGCGGAGAAAUAAAAUUACUAAAAUCAAAAGAAAUGCUUGAUGGAUUAUGAAAUAAUGUGAUGGAAUAUAUAACAAUACUAAUUAUUGCUAUAAGAAAUUCACAAAAAAAAAAAUAUGACUAUAUAUAGAUAAAAAGAAACUCUUGAAAAUGUAGUAUACCUGGAUGAUGAAGCUAUUUCUUCAAAGAUGGAAUUUGAAAAAUCUUUGUUUCGCGCAUUCCUGUAAAUCAGUUUCUCAUUUACGUGAGACGAUUUGGAAUUAAUAUAUAGUUACAUUACAUUGUAUACAUAAAUUACUAGCAAUAAAGUUCAAUUAUUCUGGUGAACAACCGGAAUUCGAGAAUAGUGAAAGCUAUAAUGUAAGUAACUAAAUAUAUGACUGUUGUUAUAAAUAGAUUGGUUGAGGUAGACAAGGGAUUAAUCAUACAUUUCUCUUUUCCAUUAAUUUUGUAAUCUUGGUCUGCCAUGUCUCCUCCAUUAGGUAAAAAACUUCACGUUUAUAUGAAGAAUUUGAAGUUUUGUGUGUGUUGAUUUCCUUAAAAAAUAAAGUUUCCUAUGUAAUUAGGAUAGUUAAUUACAACAUUUUUGUCAAGCCCUUUAAUUAGUUACGGAACUAUAAAUAGAGGAUUAAAAAUGUAUUUCACCCAUUUUUAUGUCUAACAAAUUUUAGAGAACCUUUAUUAUUUUACUUGGGCUGCGAAAUUUGAUUCCUUUAAUUUACACUGAUAUUAAUUAUUUUUCUGUCUUUGUUGUUUUUCCUUAUUUUCUGGAAAUUUUCAUAUGUUCAUAUGAUCUUCAAACCCUGCAGCAUUAGACAUUAACCUUUAACCUAGGAUGUAUCCAGCCACACCCUUAUGAAAACCAUUAGGACAGAGAGAGAGAGAGAGAGAUGGAAAAUUUACUUUUAGUCAUAUAUAUAUAGUUCUGUAAUAGUCCAUUAUAUAAAAGAUAAUGUUGAUUACUUCUUUUAUAUAUCUAGUUGCAUCACAGCAGCAUGAUCAGUAUUCUCCUAGCUAGAUGAUAUAUCUCGUAAACUAAUUAAAUUGAUAUUUUAUAUCUAUUAUGUUUAUACACGUAUACAUAUAAGUAUAUUUUAAUAAAAAAGAAGUGUUUUACUGAAGGAUUGUUGGAGUAAUAACUUAUGGGAAAAAAAGAAAUUAAUUAAUUAAGAAAUGUACAAAUAUGAAGAAUUAAAUAAUAAAAGAAAGAAAUAACUUAAUGAAUUUAAAGUUAUGAUGACAAUAUUGAACGCUUCAAUUUAAAUUUGGGAAGUUUCGUGAUGUACGUUAUUUUGCUGAAAAAAGACCCUUACUAAAUACUAAUAAAUCAGGAGUUGGUUCAUUAGUUGUAUCCUUUAUUUCAGCAUAUAAUAAACACACAACUACCUUUUUUUAGCUAGAGAGUAAAGGUAGUAGUAUUAUUAUUCUAGAUUAGAAUAAUAUUUAGGAGUCAAUAUGAAAAUUCCAACUUAUAAAUCUGAAGAUAAAACAGCAAAACUAGCUAAGCUAUAAGAUGAUCCAUAUCCCGUCGAACACUAUAAUUAUCAAAAACACAAAAUCUGUGAGUUAGCUAGUAUGAGUUGCUAAGUUAAAUUAGUUCAUGGAUUGACGAGUAAGUUAAUGACUAAAAAACUAUGAGUUCGAGUUUAUCAAAAUCUUCAAGGCCAAGUCUGUUUUGCCAUCUUCAAUUUGCCUCUCAUAUAUAUUUAUUGAUAGAAUUUGCCUAAAGCACAUCUAUGAAUGUAAUGGUUGAUAAUUUCUACAUCGGGUGAUAAUAAUAAUAAUAAUAAUAAUAAUAAUAAUAAUAAUAAUAAUAAUAAUAAUAAUAAUAAUAAUAAUAAUAAUAAUAAUAAUAAUAAUAAUAAUAAUAAUAAUAAUAAAUUGUCAAGAGCUGUAUUAGAAACAUCGGAAAUCCAGCCAUAAAAGAAGGAAAAUCAUACUUGUACUAAAAAUGGGUAGAUUUUUACAUGAAUGCAGGAUUUGUAAUAUGUAAAUGAAUACAAGAAAGUUGGCCCAAAACACAGCCGUUUUGAAAUAAACAUUUAAGAAUCAUCAAUAGCUCUGAAGGUUUUAAAGUUUCAACUAGCUAGGGAUAUAUUUCUGAUAUUCAACCUUAAAAAAAAAUAGUAUAAGUUAAUUCCAUGUGUAUUAAGAUGAAUAGUAACUUUGAGAUAUUUGAACGACUUCAUAAUUUUUAUCAUUUUAGCUAAUUUUGUUAGACAAUUACUAUUUUGGCUUACUAUAUAUACACUUGCUAUGCGCUUAUCAAAAUUCAAAUGUCUUAGCUAUGGAGUGUUUGGACGGACGACUUGAAAGUUAAUUCCAUCCAUUAGUAAUUUUCUAAUUCUGAGUGAAAUUUUGCAAAAAGUUUCGUUAAUGGUCACAAUUAAUUGUGAUAAUUAAAAAUAAUCCAGGCUUUUAGCUUUUUUUAUAUAUAUAAAUCAUAACUUUUUAAAAGAUGUAUAUUAGAAUAAAUGAAAAUAAAUACAUAAUUUUAAAAAUCGUGUGAAGAUGAACUCAACCUGAGACCUUUAACCUUAGACACUAUAUAAUCACUCUACUAUUAAGUCAAAACAUACCCACAUACAUGAAUUUUCUAGUAUUAUAAAUUUACGUAACGUUUGUAUAGUAUGUAUCAAUAAAAAUAUUUUUUAUUGUUGCAUUGUGAUAAAGUAUGUGAGAGUGCAGCGUGUAUUGUGCAUUUAUAUAAUUUUAUGUGUGUCAUGUCUCACUCUUAUAUCUAUUAAUUUAAUAAUAUUUUUUAUGAAAAUAAAAAUUAUUAUAAUGUUGCGAUUUAUACUUAAUUUUUAUUUGAAAAAAUUAAAAUUUUAAAAAAGUUAUAUACCAUAACUGUGAAUUUAUCAACAUAUUAUUAACUAUAAAAGUGAAAGUAUAUAAAUAAUAAACAAUAAGGGGCCGUUUGAUUUGCAGUUUAUGAUUGAUUAGGAUUAAAAUUAUCUUGAGAAAUUAGUGUGGAUUAGUGUGGAUUUAUAUUAUUUCAUGGGUGUUUGAUAUCAUGGCUACUUAAUCCUAUAUUAUGUUUGAUAUCCAUAGAAUUAUGUUGGAUUAUAUUAUCUAAUACCAAAAUUAUCCUCACAUAAUUUUAAAAAUAUCAUGUGUGUCCACCAUUACUUGGGCAUUUGCAUCGAUAUGCGUGAGGAAGGGUAGCAGAAUUUUUAUCCAACUUCUCAGUAUUAAAUUUAUCCGAGGGAGGUGGGCGGAUUAUUAGUAUGGGUUAAUCCCACAAAAUAGCAUGGAGAAGUAGGAUUAAGUAGGAGUUGACCAUAUUAAAUGCACAUGAUAUCAAACAUCACACUAAUCUGUAUUAAUUUAAUUUAUCCUACCUAUAAACCCAUAUCAAACAGGCCCUAAUUGUAUACCCUAACUAGAUGGAAUAAACCCUAAUUAAUAAUCACAAAAUUAAAUUAAAGUAUACAAAGUUGAAAUUAGAAAAAAAAAAUAUAAGAAAUAAAUAAAAUUAAAAGUGGGACGUCACAAAGUAGGAUACAGCGAUCAAUCUCAAUCCGUGUAAUACGUGCGUGCGGUCCGAGUAAAUUAAUACCAUGAACCGUAGUUUGUUUUUAUCAAAGAAUUUAGCUAUAUAUUUGCAAAUCUUGAGUCCAAACACAUUGGUGCAGAAAAUUAGCUUCGAUGUGUAAGGAUUAUCGACGAUGUUGAUGAAAGUUUUCAAAAUUUUAUAAUUAUAAUAAAUGCAGUCAACGGAGAGACAAAAUGAUUGUGGGAGAAAACAACAAGGCAUUAGACAUUCUAGUAUCGAUCCGACAGUCUUAGCUUGUGCUGCAGUCAUUUUGCUUACAUACCUCAUCUAUAUGUAUCUCACUGCAAAAAUCCAGAUUUGUAUUUCCCUUCCACUCUCACUGCAAAAUGAUACCUUAAAUAAGACACACG
This 4632-nucleotide long non-coding RNA is filed under the name Salvia miltiorrhiza (redroot sage). RNAcentral describes it as "long non-coding RNA (SMIL_LNC007583)". Lineage: Eukaryota; Viridiplantae; Streptophyta; Magnoliopsida; Lamiales; Lamiaceae. The record is from RNAcentral.